RNAcentral lists this transfer RNA (76 nucleotides) under Tissierellia bacterium. RNAcentral's name for it is "tRNA-Thr". It matches the Rfam family "tRNA". From Rfam's summary of the family: Transfer RNA (tRNA) molecules are approximately 80 nucleotides in length. Their secondary structure includes four short double-helical elements and three loops (D, anti-codon, and T loops). Lineage: Bacteria; Bacillati; Bacillota; Tissierellia. The record is from RNAcentral.
GCUAUCGUGGCUCAGUUGGCAGAGCAGCUGAUUCGUAAUCAGCAGGUCGGCGGUUCAAAUCCGCCCGAUAGCUCCA